GACGAACGCUGGCGGCGUGCUUAACACAUGCAAGUCGAGCGGUAAGGCCCUUUCGGGGGUACACGAGCGGCGAACGGGUGAGUAACACGUGGGUGACCUGCCCUUAGCUCUGGGAUAAGCCUGGGAAACUGGGUCUAAUACCGGAUAUGACUCCAUGACGCAUGUUGUGGGGUGGAAAGCCUUGUGCGGCUAGGGGAUGGGGCCCGCGGCCUAUCAGCUUGUUGGUGGGGUGAUGGCCACCAAGGCGACGACGGGUAGCCGGCCUGAGAGGGCGACCGGCCACACUGGGACUGAGACACGGCCCAGACUCCUACGGGAGGCAGCAGUGGGGAAUCUUGCGCAAAUGGGCGAAAGCCUGACGCAGCGACGCCGCGUGAGGAUGACGGCCU
RNAcentral lists this ribosomal RNA (389 nucleotides) under uncultured bacterium. RNAcentral's name for it is "bacterial SSU rRNA". It matches the Rfam family "Bacterial small subunit ribosomal RNA", at positions 28 to 417 of the family's 1533-position model. The record is from RNAcentral.